UGAGGAAUAUUGGUCAAUGGUCGGGAGACUGAACCAGCCAAGCCGCGUGAGGGAUGAAGGUCUUCGGAUCGUAAAACUCUGUUGCGGGGGAAAAAGGAAGGGAAGAGGAAAUGCUUUUUCUUUUGAUGGUACCCCGCCAGAAAGUCACGGCUAACUACGUGCCAGCAGCCGCGGUAAUACGUAGGUGGCAAGCGUUAUCCGGAAUGAUUGGGCGUAAAGGGUGCGCAGGCUGCGCGUCAAGUCUGAAGUGAAAGGUACGGGCUUAACCGGUACAGGCUUUGGAAACUGGCACGCUAGAGGACAGGAGAGGGCGGUGGAACUCCAUGUGUAGCGGUAAAAUGCGUAGAUAUAUGGAAGAACACCAGUUGCGAAGGCGACCGCCUGGACUGUUGCUGACGCUCAGGCACGAAAGCGUGGGGAGCAAAUAGGAUUAGAUACC
Molecule: ribosomal RNA, 439 nt
Filed under: uncultured bacterium
Lineage: Bacteria
Description: bacterial SSU rRNA
Rfam family: Bacterial small subunit ribosomal RNA
Source: RNAcentral